GAUGAACGCUGGCGGCGUGCCUAAUACAUGCAAGUCGAGCGAACAGACGAGGAGCUUGCUCCUCUAACGUUAGCGGCGGACGGGUGAGUAACACGUGGAUAACCUACCUAUAAGACUGGGAUAACUUCGGGAAACCGGAGCUAAUACCGGAUAAUAUAUUGAACCGCAUGGUUCAAUAGUGAAAGACGGUUUUGCUGUCACUUAUAGAUGGAUCCGCGCCGCAUUAGCUAGUUGGUAAGGUAACAGCUUACCAAGGCAACGAUGCGUAGCCGACCUGAGAGGGUGAUCGGCCACACUGGAACUGAGACACGGUCCAGAGUCCUACGGGAGGCAGCAGUAGGGAAUCUUCCGCAAUGGGCGAAAGCCUGACGGAGCAACGCCGCGUGAGUGAUGAAGGUCUUCGGAUCGUAAAACUCUGUUAUUAGGGAAGAACAAAUGUGUAAGUAACUAUGCACGUCUUGACGGUACCUAAUCAGAAAGCCACGGCUAACUACGUG
This 497-nucleotide ribosomal RNA is filed under the name uncultured bacterium. RNAcentral describes it as "partial 16S ribosomal RNA". It matches the Rfam family "Bacterial small subunit ribosomal RNA", at positions 28 to 507 of the family's 1533-position model. The record is from RNAcentral.